CCGUGCUUUUGUGGGGUGCUCGAGUGGCGAACGGGUGAGUAACACGUGAGUAACCUGCCCUUGACUUUGGGAUAACUUCAGGAAACUGGGGCUAAUACCGGAUAGGAGCUCCCGCUGCAUGGUGGGGGUUGGAAAGUUUCGGCGGUUGGGGAUGGACUCGCGGCCUAUCAGCUUGUUGGUGGGGUAGUGGCUUACCAAGGCUUUGACGGGUAGCCGGCCUGAGAGGGUGACCGGCCACAUUGGGACUGAGGUACGGCCCAG
This 261-nucleotide ribosomal RNA is filed under the name uncultured Actinomycetales bacterium. Its description in RNAcentral is "partial 16S ribosomal RNA". It matches the Rfam family "Bacterial small subunit ribosomal RNA", at positions 73 to 334 of the family's 1533-position model. Lineage: Bacteria; Bacillati; Actinomycetota; Actinomycetes; Actinomycetales. The record is from RNAcentral.